Molecule: ribosomal RNA, 38 nt
Filed under: Rhizoplaca chrysoleuca
Lineage: Eukaryota; Fungi; Ascomycota; Lecanoromycetes; Lecanorales; Lecanoraceae
Also listed under: 1 other name
Description: partial 18S ribosomal RNA
Source: RNAcentral
UCAAGGUUUCCGUAGGUGAACCUGCGGAAGGAUCAUUA